AUCACUUCCUGGUCUUUUGGCUAAGAUCAAGUGUAAUCUGUUCUUAUCAGUUUAACAGAGGUGCUGAAUAAAAGUGGGAGAUAAAAAACAUCCUGAGUUCCUCUUUUAUUAUGACUUGGAACAGAAUACAUCUAUUUAAUACACUACGUAUGAAUGGCACCCAUUAAAGUCUUUGCUGUUAUUACCCUUAAAAUAUUAAAGAUGAGCCUUU
Molecule: small nuclear RNA, 211 nt
Filed under: Otolemur garnettii (small-eared galago)
Lineage: Eukaryota; Metazoa; Chordata; Mammalia; Primates; Galagidae
Description: U2 spliceosomal RNA
Rfam family: U2 spliceosomal RNA
About the family: U2 is a small nuclear RNA (snRNA) component of the spliceosome (involved in pre-mRNA splicing). Complementary binding between U2 snRNA (in an area lying towards the 5' end but 3' to hairpin I) and the branchpoint sequence (BPS) of the intron results the bulging out of an unpaired adenosine, on the BPS, which initiates a nucleophilic attack at the intronic 5' splice site, thus starting the first of two transesterification reactions that mediate splicing.
Source: Rfam by way of RNAcentral